GGGUCAGUAGGUUGGUCGUGCCACCGGUACGUACUGGUCUCACUGAUUCCUCCUCCCUGAAGAACCGUAAUGCCAUUAAUUUGGUGUUGCGGGGAAACAGGACUGUUACUUUGGAAAAAUUAGAGUGUUUAAAGCAAGCUAACGCUUGAAUACAUUAGCAUGGAAUAAUGAAAUAGGACGAUCGAUCCUAUUUUGUUGGUUUCUAGGAUUGACGUA
RNAcentral lists this ribosomal RNA (216 nucleotides) under Glomeromycotina sp. RNAcentral's name for it is "partial small subunit ribosomal RNA". The stretch from base 75 to 216 matches the Rfam family "Eukaryotic small subunit ribosomal RNA", at positions 721 to 864 of the family's 1831-position model. The record is from RNAcentral. Lineage: Eukaryota; Fungi; Glomeromycota.